CCCUCAUUUUCUCCUUAUGCAAUAUGCAAGAAGGGUUUAGACAGAGGAAAAACCCUAGGACUCCUAGCUAGCAAAAUUUCCCCUAGCUUUCACUCAUUUUUUCUCGUUUUUUCCUUCGUUCUACCAAAUGACCCAAUAACCAACGCCUAAAAUGGUACCCAGAUCUUGGUCCCGCCUUCUCCAUUUCCAUUCCCUCAGAAAACCUAAAAAACCCCCAAUCCCCCAACUCUUCCGGCAGGUAUCGACUUUUCCUCGCUUUCCCACCGCCCAAACAUCCCCAUUCUCCAAUUCCUCGACCACCUUCUUCUGCACCGCCGCUGGUUACUCCAACCGGGUCGUCCAGGACCUCCUGGCCGAUCUCGAGCGCGAGAAACAGCAGGAAAGAGAGGCAAGGAAGCGAGCUGGACUAGACACCAAGGACAUUGAUGAAGAGGAUAACGAGGAUUACAUGGGCGUGGGGCCAUUAAUAGAGAAGCUAGAGAAGGAGAGGCUGAAGCCUGUUGUUGGGGAUUUGCAUCUUCGUGAAGAGCCAUCUGAUUCGGAUAGCGAUGAGGAUGAUGAGAGGUUUGGCAGAGAAACAUUGACCAAAGGGUAUGAAGUGUUCCAGAAGAAACAUGAACGCCAUGAGGAGUUGCUUCGGCAUUUUGUAGAUUCUGAGACACUUGAGGAUGCUUUCAAAUGGAUGAAUAAAAUUGACAAGUUUGAGCAAAAACAUUUUCAUCUUCGACCUGAAUACAGGGUCAUUGGUGAGCUGAUUAAUCGUCUAAAAAUAGCAGAAGGCAAAGAUAAAUUUAUUCUUCAACAAAAAUUGAACAGGGCAAUGCGGCUGGUAGACUGGAAGGAAGCUUAUGAUCCCAACAAUCCAGCCAAUUAUGGAGUUAUUCAGCAUGCACAAGUUGGCUCUAAUGUUGAUGACUUGGAUAAUGCUGGGUUUGAAAAACAAAAGCAAAUGAUACAAGGUGGGUCUGAUGAGGAUGAGGAGGAGUUUGAUGACAUGAAGGAAAGGGAUGACAUACUAUUAGAGAAGCUCAAUGCCAUUGAUAAGAAACUUGAAGAGAAAUUAGCUGAGCUAGAUCAUACCUUUGGAAAGAAAGGGAAGGUUCUUGAGGAGGAGAUCAGAGAUCUUGCAGAGGAGAGAAAUGCUUUGACAGAGAAGAAAAGAAGACCAAUGUAUAGAAAAGGUUUUGAUGUGAAAUUGAUAGAUGUGAAUCGAACUUGUAAAGUUACCAAGGGAGGACAAGUAGUCAAGUACACUGCUAUCUUAGCUUGUGGAAACUAUCAUGGUGUUGUUGGUUUUGCUAAAGCCAAAGGCCCAGCUGUCCCUAUAGCUCUUCAGAAGGCCUAUGAGAAAUGCUUUCAGAAUCUCCACUAUGUAGAACGGCAUGAGGAGCACACAAUUGCACAUGCAAUACAAACAGAAUAUAAGAAAACCAAGUUUCUAUAUGUCUAUUUGCCUAGGUGUAUCUUUGGCCAGCCUCUACUAGAACGGGUAUGAAAGCCGGAAGAAUUGUUCAAACCGUUUUGAAUUUGGCUGGUUUCAAAAAUGUCAAAUCCAAGGUUAUUGGCUCAAGGAAUCCUCAUAACACUGUUAAGGCUCUUUUUAAAGCUUUAAAUGCAAUUGAAACUCCAAAGGAUGUGCAAGAGAAGUUUGGGAGGACAGUUGUUGAGAAGUACUUGCUGUGAUGUCACCCUUUUUCUUGGAUUCAAGUACUCUACAAGAGAUAUGGAGUUUUUUUGUUUUUGGUUCACUUCUCCUCGAACAUGGUAAAGCAUGUUUGCUACCAUCAUUUCUACUGACUCGAAAUUUUGGCUUCUCUCAAUCACCUCAGAGUAAAACUGCUUUAGUCAUAACUUGUGAGGUGUCUGAGAUUAACAAUAAUUUUCCAAGUUAAUGAUAUUGUGUGAAGUAUAGAAUAAUCAUGCUUCAUUGUUUCUUUUUC
Manihot esculenta (cassava) is the source of this 1940-nucleotide RNA transcript. RefSeq lists it as uncharacterized. The record is from RefSeq and is a predicted model, not a curated record. The transcript has 8 exons. Lineage: Eukaryota; Viridiplantae; Streptophyta; Magnoliopsida; Malpighiales; Euphorbiaceae.